GAACGCACCUUGCACCCUUUGGUAUUCCGAAGGGUAUGCUCGUUUGAGUGUCAUUGUACUCUCACACUCUCUGAUCCUUUGGGAUUCGGGGAGCGGUGGACUUGGGUGUUUGCUGCUUUCCUUGUGGCUCACCUCAAAUGCGUCAGUGCACCUCUUGGUUGGACAUAGUACGGCGUGAUAAGUGUCUUCGCCGGCACCUCGCAAGAGGGUGGUCAAUUGGGAGCUCUGUGCUUUCAAACCGUCUUCGGACAAUAUCUGACAACUUGACCUCAAAUCGAGUAGGACUACCCGCUGAACUUAAG
Molecule: unclassified non-coding RNA, 302 nt
Filed under: uncultured Sebacina
Lineage: Eukaryota; Fungi; Basidiomycota; Agaricomycetes; Sebacinales; Sebacinaceae
Description: sequence contains 5.8S rRNA gene
Source: RNAcentral